RNAcentral lists this ribosomal RNA (433 nucleotides) under uncultured bacterium. RNAcentral's name for it is "bacterial SSU rRNA". It matches the Rfam family "Bacterial small subunit ribosomal RNA", at positions 340 to 786 of the family's 1533-position model. The record is from RNAcentral.
UACGGAAGGCAGCAGUGGGGAAUAUUGGACAAUGGGCGAAAGCCUGAUCCAGCCAUGCCGCAUGAGUGAAGAAGGCCUUCGGGUUGUAAAGCUCUUUUAGUGAGAAAGAUAAUGACGGUACUCACAGAAGAAGUCCUGGCUAACUCCGUGCCAGCAGCCGCGGUAAUACGGAGAGGGCUAGCGUUAUUCGGAAUUAUUGGGCGUAAAGAGCGCGUAGGCCGAUUAGUAAGUUAAAAGUGAAAUCCCAAAGCUUAACUUUGGAAUUGCUUUUUAAAACUGCUAGUCUAGAGAUUUGAAAGAGGAUAGAGGAAUUCCUAGUGUAGAGGUGAAAUUCGUAAAUAUUAGGAGGAACACCAGUGGCGAAGGCGUCUAUCUGGUUCAAAUCUGACGCUGAGGCGCGAAGGGCGUGGGGAGCAAACAGGGAUUAGAUACC